Long non-coding RNA from Sorghum bicolor (sorghum), 775 nucleotides. RefSeq lists it as uncharacterized. The transcript has 4 exons. The record is from RefSeq and is a predicted model, not a curated record. Lineage: Eukaryota; Viridiplantae; Streptophyta; Magnoliopsida; Poales; Poaceae.
GAUGUUUAGGAGUGAGAUGGAAGGUGUUUCAUCAUAAUGCAUGGGAAUUAUUGUCAUGUACGAUGGUUGCAUGAUCGAAGGCUACGAGCGAGGGGACAAAUUAAAAAAGAUAAAGAAAUCUUCCUCUUACCAAGGAUAGGGACUGCCAUUUAAAUUUCACUAAAGGAGGAAAAAAGAUUGUUCAGCUACAAGUUCUACAAGGAAAAAAGAUUCCUUGAACUGGAUCCUUUUGCUUGUUCGCAAAUCAAAUUUUGGACAUGAAUGAUAAAUAUUCUGAGACCUUUAUGUCUGCGGAAAGUUAUGUGCUGAUUUGUCUCAAGUGUAAUGACAGAACUUGGAGAAGCUUCUGAUUAGAUUUAGUCACUGCGAGGAAAGUGGCACACCUUCAUUCACUACACAUAUCCAUGACGACAACACAUCUAUGGACCUUAACAAGCAGGCAUGGCAAUGAAAAAUAAUUGAACAUUUCCUGGUUUGGGACAGUGUGAUGGUCGAGUCAAUAUCUGUGGAUUUGUAACAAGACGACAACCACGUCUCAAAAUAUGCACCCCAAGUCAUGUAUGGAAAUUUGGCGGACUGAAAAUUCUGACUCACUAUUUCGUUUGAUAAUGGUGAAAACAUUUAGGGUCCACAAACUGACCUUUCUCUUGACUGAACUAAUUGCUGCUUUUGUGCGUAUAUAUAGCACUGCACUUCCAUGUAUCCAAUCAGACAAGAUGAUCUGUUGUACGGUGAACCACUCCUGUUGUUAAUAUAGCCCUGUUUGGCAGAGAUA